RNAcentral lists this ribosomal RNA (301 nucleotides) under uncultured bacterium. RNAcentral's name for it is "partial 16S ribosomal RNA". It matches the Rfam family "Bacterial small subunit ribosomal RNA", at positions 509 to 807 of the family's 1533-position model. The record is from RNAcentral.
CAGUCGCCGCGGGAAUACGAAGGGUGCAAGCGUUAAUCGGAAUUACUGGGCGUAAAGCGUGCGUAGGCGGUGAGUUAAGUCUGCUGUGAAAUCCCCGGGCUCAACCUGGGAAUGGCAGUGGAUACUGGCUCGCUAGAGUGUGUCAGAGGAUGGUGGAAUUCCCGGUGCAGCGGUGAAAUGCGUAGAUAUUCGGAAGAACACCAGUGGCGAAGGCGGCUUACUGGCUCAUUCUAGACGCUGAGGUGCGAAAGCGUGGGGAGCAAACAGGAUUAGAUACCCCCGUAGUCCCUGUCUCUUAUAC